RNAcentral lists this ribosomal RNA (459 nucleotides) under uncultured Weissella sp. RNAcentral's name for it is "partial 16S ribosomal RNA". It matches the Rfam family "Bacterial small subunit ribosomal RNA", at positions 341 to 792 of the family's 1533-position model. Lineage: Bacteria; Bacillati; Bacillota; Bacilli; Lactobacillales; Lactobacillaceae. The record is from RNAcentral.
ACGGAAGGCAGCAGUAGGGAAUCUUCCACAAUGGGCGAAAGCCUGAUGGAGCAACGCCGCGUGUGUGAUGAAGGGUUUCGGCUCGUAAAACACUGUUGUAAGAGAAGAAUGACAUUGAGAGUAACUGUUCAAUGUGUGACGGUAUCUUACCAGAAAGGAACGGCUAAAUACGUGCCAGCCGCCGCUGUAAUACGUAGGUUCCAAGCGUUAUCCGGAUUUAUUGGGCGUAAAGCGAGCGCAGACGGUUAUUUAAGUCUGAAGUGAAAGCCCUCAGCUCAACUGAGGAAUUACUUUGGAAACUGGAUAGCUUGAGUGCAGUAGAGGAAAGUGGAACUCCAUGUGUAGCGGUGAAAUGCGUAGAUAUAUUGAAGAACACCAGUGGCGAAUGCGGCUUUCUGGACUGUAACUGACGUUGAGGCUCGAGAGUGUGUGUAGCAAACAGGAUUAGAUACCCUGGUA